GCUUAAGUAGCUUAUGGGUAAAGUGCGAUAUUGAAGGUAUCGAGAAGGAUUAAGCG
RNAcentral lists this transfer RNA (56 nucleotides) under Plagiorhynchus transversus. RNAcentral's name for it is "tRNA-Phe". Lineage: Eukaryota; Metazoa; Acanthocephala; Palaeacanthocephala; Polymorphida; Plagiorhynchidae. The record is from RNAcentral.